GAUAACAAGCUUAUGACUCCCCAAAGCUCUUAUCGACGGAGUUUUUUGGCAUCUCGAUAUCGAAUCAUCGCAUCCUGGAGUUGAAGACAGUCCUAAGGGUUUAGUUACUUGCCGAUUGAGGUGGCAUGCCAGUUCCAAAUGGCGUUUUACUGCAAUGGCAAAAAACAAUAAUACCUAUGCAUUAUGGUAAAGUUCGAUCUCUAACGAUUUUCUUCUCCCUAACAUUUUAUAAUUUAACUCACUAGCCCUAUCGUUUAUCAAAAGAAAAAAGUGACAUGACAGAUUGAUUCAGAAUGUUGUGAGACAGUUC
This 310-nucleotide ribosomal RNA is filed under the name Malus domestica (apple). RNAcentral's name for it is "rRNA MD02G0016000". It matches the Rfam family "Bacterial large subunit ribosomal RNA", at positions 2473 to 2632 of the family's 2925-position model. Lineage: Eukaryota; Viridiplantae; Streptophyta; Magnoliopsida; Rosales; Rosaceae. The record is from RNAcentral.